RNAcentral lists this transfer RNA (76 nucleotides) under Paracoccaceae bacterium. RNAcentral describes it as "Rhodobacteraceae bacterium (oil production facility metagenome) tRNA-Thr". It matches the Rfam family "tRNA". From Rfam's summary of the family: Transfer RNA (tRNA) molecules are approximately 80 nucleotides in length. Their secondary structure includes four short double-helical elements and three loops (D, anti-codon, and T loops). The record is from RNAcentral. RNAcentral also lists the same sequence under 5 other names. Lineage: Bacteria; Pseudomonadati; Pseudomonadota; Alphaproteobacteria; Rhodobacterales; Paracoccaceae.
GCCGCACUAGCUCAGCUGGUAGAGCAUCGCAUUCGUAAUGCGGAGGUCAGGGGUUCGAAUCCCUUGUGCGGCACCA